UACGUAGGUGGCAAGCGUUGUCCGGAAUUAUUGGGCGUAAAGCGCGCGCAGGCGGUUCUUUAAGUUGGGUGUUAAAGGCAGCGGCUCAACCGCUGUUCGCACCCAAAACUGGGGAACUUGAGUGCAGGAGAGGAUAGUGGAAUUCCCGGUGUAGCGGUGGAAUGCGUAGAGAUCGGGAGGAACACCAGUGGCGAAGGCGACUGUCUGGCCUGCAACUGACGCUGAGGCGCGAAAGCGUGGGGAGCAAACA
Molecule: ribosomal RNA, 250 nt
Filed under: uncultured bacterium
Lineage: Bacteria
Description: partial 16S ribosomal RNA
Rfam family: Bacterial small subunit ribosomal RNA
Source: RNAcentral